Molecule: long non-coding RNA, 715 nt
Filed under: Olea europaea (common olive)
Lineage: Eukaryota; Viridiplantae; Streptophyta; Magnoliopsida; Lamiales; Oleaceae
Description: long non-coding RNA (OEUR_LNC003355)
Source: RNAcentral
UGUGAGCAAUUGUAAUCUAGACUCUAGCAUUCCAAUUUUUGUGUUGGGGUUUUUUGAUAAUGGAAGGUGAUGAUGAUCCGAUGAAGGCCCAAGAGGCCUCUGCCUCAGGCCCAGCAUAUAAGGGGGCAGCCCAAAAAAAUCUUGCAACCCUUUUUUAUUUUUUUUGGAAAACCCAAUUUCAACAGUUUCUUCUGCAGUCGGCUGCUCCUCCACUCCAAUCGCCACGAUUAGUCGGUUACAUCUGCAAGAUUACAACUCAAGGCCCUGCAACCACUCCUAAAACCUACCGACGACGGGCAGUGGCAGCAUCCUGUGGUGGUCUUGCGUUGGGGUCUUCUUCUAUUAUUGGACUCGUUGGUACUUGGUACUAUUUGGCAAGUCAUUUAUGAUUUAUCUUCACCAAAUUCCAAUUGACCGACGGUUAUAAUCAAGGCAUGAAUCCGAUUCUGAUGCUGUCAUUUUGCUUCUGUUCGUUCCGUAUGACUGUAUUAUCUAUCAAUUUGUUUUCUUGCAAUAUAUGACAAUUGAUAUCCAAAAUCCGACCAACCGCAUAAUGGCAUUUUGCUUCUGUGCUUCAGCCUUCAGUUCAAUGCUUUUGUUAAUUAUUAUCUAAUAUAUAUCAAUUUGUUUUCUUGCAAAGUUUUAGGUGUGAGAUUUAAAUUGAUUUCUUUGUUUAUUUGUUGAAUCUUGAUUCUUAAACUUGAAGACAUUGGAC